This 439-nucleotide ribosomal RNA is filed under the name uncultured bacterium. Its description in RNAcentral is "bacterial SSU rRNA". It matches the Rfam family "Bacterial small subunit ribosomal RNA", at positions 8 to 429 of the family's 1533-position model. The record is from RNAcentral.
AGAGUUUGAUCCUGGCUCAGAGCGAACGUUAGCGGCGGGCCUAACACAUGCAAGUCGAACGAGAAUCUAGGCUUCGGCCUAGUAGUAAAGUGGCGGACGGGUGCGUAACACGUGGGUAAUCUACCUUCCGGCGGGGGACAACAGUCCGAAAGGAUUGCUAAUACCGCAUACGUCAGCGGCGCCUACGGGCGCUGUUGGGAAAGAUGGCCUCUCCUUGGAAGCUGUCACCGGAAGAUGAGCCCGCGUCCCAUCAGCUAGUUGGUGAGGUAAUGGCUCACCAAGGCUUAGACGGGUAGCUGGUCUGAGAGGAUGAUCAGCCACACUGGGACUGCGACACGGCCCAGACUCCUACGGGAGGCAGCAGUGGGGAAUAUUGGGCAAUGGGCGCAAGCCUGACCCAGCCACGCCGCGUGAGUGAUGAAGGCCUUCGGGUCGUAAA